This 2153-nucleotide long non-coding RNA is filed under the name Micromonas commoda. RNAcentral describes it as "long non-coding RNA (MCOM_LNC000458)". The record is from RNAcentral. Lineage: Eukaryota; Viridiplantae; Chlorophyta; Mamiellophyceae; Mamiellales; Mamiellaceae.
GGUCUUGCUGGCCUUGCCGAUUGCGGCGUCGUAUGCGAGGGUGGACUUGCCGCUGUCACUCAUGCCGGUGAUUGUGGCCACGCUCCCGAGUUCCGAGGAGUGCGGCAUGGUCUUGCCGCUAUCGUCGAGGAGCUCGGCGAAGGUGACACCGCCGACCUUCUGACCGGAUCGGAUGAUCUCGGUGUACUGCAGCUUCUGGAAGAGGCCCUUGUACACGAUCCAAGGGGAGGCCAUGUUCGACUGUUGCGCAGCGGAGGUCUCCGGGUAGGGGGAUUCUCCGAAGAACGUGCCGGUUGCUCCGGUGAUGGCGACGGGCUGGGUGGGUUCGGCCUCGACACCCGGAACCUUGAUGGGUCCGAGGUAGCCGACGGUGCCGGCGCCGCCGUAGGUGGAGGCCUCGUCGGGGUGCUGAACUUGGUUCAUGAUGUAGGACCAGCCGUUGAUGUUCUCGUGGUACCAGACGCCGGUGGUCUCGGCCUCCUGGACGACGGUGUUGAUGCGGGUGAGGGCGUGGGUCUCCAUGUGGUAGGCCCAGACGGCGUUGUUCUUGUGCUUGGAGGUGUCCUCGCCGAUGAGGAGAAUGUCGUGGCCGUUCAUGAACGCGACGUUGUCGGGGUUGGCGAUGUUGUGGAUGUCGCAUUUGUCGUCGCCGUCCGUGUGUCCAAGCUUGUCCUCGGUGUUGAAGGACGUGGGGACGCCGCAGACGAGGGGAGAGAUGGACUUGAUGCGGUUGUUGGCGUCGAGGGGCGCGCGGUAAACGCAGCCGCAGGUGUUCUUCUCGAUGCCGAUGUGAUCACCUUCCGCAUGGUCGCCCUUGCUGUCAAGCUUGUGCUCCAUGGAAGCUUCGUUGGAAGAGAUGGCGAAGUACAUCUCCUUGCGGUUCUUUGACCAGGUGAUGCCCUCGAGCUUGCGCCACUGGGCGCUCGCGCCAACGUAGGCAGCGUAGAUGCGGGUCUCGAAUCGGGAGGCGGCGAUCUCCAUGCCGGUCUUGAGCUUGAGGCACAUCGCGCCGCCGUCGACGACGGUGGCCUUGAAGCCGGAAGCGCAAGUGAAGUCGUAAUCGCCGUUGGGGCCGGCGGUCUUGGUGCCGAUUUCAAACAUGUCGGUGAACUUGAUGUAGCUGCCGGCCGUCCCCAUGAGGGUCUUGACUUGCGAGUCCGAGGCUUUGCCGAGGGAGACCCACUCGACGUCGAACUUGCCGGCGCCGACGCCCUUGGUGGAUGUCUGCGUGACCUUCAUGGCGAAAAGCUCGCCGGAGGAGAGGUCGUUGGCCUUGUCAGGGACAAACAUCGCGGCGACGCCGGUGUUGGAGUCGUCGGUGAUGUAGCACACCUGGGGAAAGUCGCCGACGCAGUACGGGAGCUCGAUGGAGUAGCGGCCCAUGGAGUAGUGCUUGGUGGCAGUGAUGGUCGGGCUUGACACGCUGGAGGAAUCGUCGAUGGAGACCUCGUUGACCCAGCGGUGCAUGUACGGAGUCCAAGAGUUUUUAAUCGUGGCGAGGUCAUCGUCGUGGAGGCCGAGAUGGCGCAGCGACAGAACGUCUCCGCCCAGAUCCGAAGUCGACGUGUAGGCACCGGUGACGGCGCUGUCCCACUUGAGGGAGCUCGGGACGCCCCACUCCUCGCCUCCAAGGUGGGUGUUCCACGGGGAAACGGAACCAGCGCAGGUGGCGAUGAGGCCGCCGUCGGCGGAGAAGUCAGCCUUGUGAAUUUUCUUGACGGUGAGGAUACCGGUGGCUGCAGCCUGCUCGAGCUCGAGGACCUGGAUGUUCGCGGGGCGAUCCUCGAGAUGCACAACGGCCCAGACAGUAUUCGGACUGGCGGUGUUGCGGGUCUUGAGGAGAGACACGAAAUCCUCCAUGUUGGAAACCUUGGUGUUGCUGUGUGCAGCUUCUUUGCCGAUCGCGGCGUCGUAUGCGAGGGUGGCGGACUUGCUGUCGGCACUCAUGCCGGUGAUUGUGGCCACGCUCGUGAGAGUCGACGAGUGAGGGAUAGUCGCGCCGGCUGUGGUCUUGAUCUGGGCGAAGGUGACACCGCCGACCUUUUCGCCGGAGCGGAUGAGUUCGGUGUACUUGAGGGGUUGCAUGCUGCCCUUGUAGAUUAUGUAAUCGGAGGCCAAGUUCUUCUGCUGAUUCGCCGAUGUCUCCGGAUACG